Molecule: ribosomal RNA, 1244 nt
Filed under: metagenome
Description: SSU rRNA
Rfam family: Eukaryotic small subunit ribosomal RNA
Source: RNAcentral
AGACCGUUCUCUUCAGAGGCCGGUCAUUGGAAUGGGUACAAUUUAAACCCUUUAACGAGUAUCUAUGAGAGGGCAAGUCUGGUGCCAGCAGCCGCGGUAAUUCCAGCUCUCAAAAUGCAUAGAAUCAUUGCUGCGGUUAAAAAGCUCGUAGUUGGAUCUGUGCUGGCGGGUCGGUCCACCUUCGGGUGCGCACUGAUUUCGCCGGCUUUCCUGCUGUAUUUGGCCCUGUGCCCUUCAACGGGUGCAGUGUCCAGUGCAGCAAGUUUACCUUGAACAAAUCAGAGUGCUUCAAACAGGCGUUUCGCUUGAAUGUUCGUGCAUGGAAUAAUAGAAGAGGAUUUCGGUUCUAUUUUAUUGGUUUUAUAGACUGAGAUAAUGGUUGACAGAGACUAACGGGGGCAUUAGUAUUGCUACGUGAGAGGUGAAAUUCUUGGACCGUAGCAAGACUGACUACAGCGAAAGCAUUUGCCAAGAAAGUCUUCAUUAAUCAAGAACGAAAGUCAGAGGUUCGAAGGCGAUCAGAUACCGCCCUAGUUCUGACCGUAAACGAUGCCAACUAGUGAUCCGCCGGUGGAACAUUCGCCCUGGUGGGGAACUUCCCGGAAACGAAAGUCUUCCGGUUCCGGGGGAAGUAUGGUUGCAAAGCUGAAACUUAAAGGAAUUGACGGAAGGGCACCACCAGGAGUGGAGCCUGCGGCUUAAUUUGACCCAACACGGGAAAACUCACCCGGCCCGGACACCGUAAGGAUUGACAGAUUGAUAGCUCUUUCAUGAUUCGGUGGAUGGUGGUGCAUGGCCGUUCUUAGUUCGUGGAGCGAUUUGUCUGGUUUAUUCCGAUAACGAGCGAGACUCUGGCCUACUAAAUAGUUUACACAUUGCUUCUGUGUGCAUAACUUCUUAGAGGGAUUUCGGUGUUCAGCCGCAAGAAAUUGAGCAAUAACAGGUCUGUGAUGCCCUUAGAUGUCCGGGGCUGCACGCGCGCUACACUGGCAAAAUCAGCGUGCUUGUCCUUCCCCGAAAGGGGUUGGUAAACUCGUGAAAAUUUGCCGUGAUUGGGAUCGGAAAUUGCAAUUAUUUUCCGUGAACGAGGAAUUCCAAGUAAGUGCGAGUCAUCAACUCGCGUUGAUUACGUCCCUGCCCUUUGUACACACCGCCCGUCGCUGCCCGGGACUGAGCCGUUUCGAGAAACUUGGAGACCGCCGAUCUGGUAACUUCGAUUGCCAUUUUGGUGGGAACCAAUUUAA